Cygnus atratus (black swan) is the source of this 340-nucleotide long non-coding RNA. RefSeq lists it as uncharacterized. NCBI's taxonomy places the organism in Eukaryota, Metazoa, Chordata, Aves, Anseriformes, Anatidae. The transcript has 3 exons. The record is from RefSeq and is a predicted model, not a curated record.
CAAAAGGACGGUUUAGGGGAAGGAGGAAAAGUCUAUAUGGAGGAAAGAAGAAAUGAUGCAGUGUUGCAGUGAGCCAUCACGAGAUGCCAGCAUUGAGGCAGCAAGAACAGGAAAUAAAUCAAGUGCUUGGCCUUGAGAGGCACUUCACAUCAAGGAUAAUCUGGAAUGCACUCCUGCUUUGGAGACAGAUGGCAGCGAGGAAGUAGGUUGGAAGAAAGGAAUAAUAAAUAUCUGAAGGCUGCAGCUUCACAAGAGAAACACAUGAAAUGCUGAAAAAAAUGCAAAGAUGGCGUAUUGACUGCGACGUGAGAGCAAAGACAUUUCUUCUAUCCAUUCAACC